This 253-nucleotide ribosomal RNA is filed under the name uncultured bacterium. Its description in RNAcentral is "partial 16S ribosomal RNA". It matches the Rfam family "Bacterial small subunit ribosomal RNA", at positions 524 to 776 of the family's 1533-position model. The record is from RNAcentral.
GACGUAGGGUGCGAGCGUUGUCCGGAUUUAUUGGGCGUAAAGAGCUCGUAGGCGGCUCGUCGCGUCGACCGUGAAAACCCGCGGCUUAACUGCGGGCUUGCGGUUGAUACGGGCGGGCUAGAGUUCGGUAGGGGAGACUGGAAUUCCUGGUGUAGCGGUGAAAUGCGCAGAUAUCAUUUGGAACGCCAAUGGUGAAAACAGCUUGCUGGGGGUUUGCUGACGCUGAGACACGAAAGCCAGGGGAGCAAACGGG